UGAUGGCAUUUCCUUUAUCGUUUCCUGAUGACGUUUACAGUAAUUCGUGAAGAAUUGCCACGUUAUGAAUUAAUCUAAACAAGAUGACAAGAAAACAAAGGAAAAGCAGUUUAUGAGCUGUUGGUUACUUCAUUAGUCAUAAGUCUAAUUUGUAAUUUGAAGUUUUAGAUGAGAAUUAAAAAAAAACAAAAAUAAGCAUGUUUAAUCUAGCAAUCUUCUACAAGUGAAUUACUUAACUGCUUGACUAACAAGUAAGUGAUGCUGUCAUUGUUGCAUAAUUCUGCUUAACAAUUUGAUCAAUUUAAGAUUGUAAAUGUCACGUACAAUAACACUAGCUAUUGCAAAGAAGAAUAAUAUUACCUUCUCAAAUAUCCGAAUUUAAAAAUUCCGUUUUCAAUAUAAAAGUAUCGAAUUUUAAUUAAAGCUUACGUAAACAAAUUACAAGUUUUUAUGCUUUAUAAAAUUAACUUAAAUAUAUUUUCAACAUUUAUAACAAGAAAAGUAAUCUUCAUGUACAAAGUGAUAUAACUACUUGUUCAAAUUAAAGUAGGAAUAAAUUCUCAGAUACUUCUUUAGGUAUUUAAUAUUUAUGACUGUUUUGACAAAUACAGGAAAGUCAACUUAAGUAAGGUCAGUCAGCGAUUAUAAUAGAUUCCGAAGCAUGUGAUAGGUGCCAGAAAUCUUAUACAAGAACAGAAUAAUGAAUGUAAAAUGUGUCUAAAGAAUUUUAUAUCAUCUCUUUAGAAAAUUAUUCUGAAGUUUGAUAUUAAAUAUAUUUAAAUUUUUGAAUGUAAUCAAUCAUGAAAAAUUAUCUUCUUUAAGAGUAUUUUAUGAUUUUACCAAAAAAAUUUGCAAUUUUAUAAAUAUGAUUAGUAAUUUGUUCACAGUUGGAAUGGUUUCAAAAUCAACUAAAUUCUGCUAUUUCACGUUGAUAAAACUAUUAUUAGCACAUCCCACUAAACCAAAUAAAAAUUCUUAGCUUUAUUUAAUCUUUUUUAUUGAUGUUUUUAUAUAAUUUCAAACACAG
Long non-coding RNA from Centruroides sculpturatus (bark scorpion), 1027 nucleotides. RefSeq lists it as uncharacterized. The transcript has 3 exons. NCBI's taxonomy places the organism in Eukaryota, Metazoa, Arthropoda, Arachnida, Scorpiones, Buthidae. The record is from RefSeq and is a predicted model, not a curated record.